GAGACUUAAGUUUGGGGUUUGGAUUGGAA
Molecule: non-coding RNA, 29 nt
Filed under: Rattus norvegicus (Norway rat)
Lineage: Eukaryota; Metazoa; Chordata; Mammalia; Rodentia; Muridae
Source: RNAcentral